AUGAACGCUGGCGGCGUGCCUAAUACAUGCAGGUCGAGCGCACAGACGAGGAGCUUGCUCCUCUGACGUUAGCGGCGGACGGGUGAGUAACACGUGGAUAACCUACCUAUAAGACUGGGAUAACUUCGGGAAACCGGAGCUAAUACCGGAUAAUAUAUUGAACCGCAUGGUUCAAUAGUGAAAGACGGUUUUGCUGUCACUUAUAGAUGGAUCCGCGCCGCAUUAGCUAGUUGGUAAGGUAACGGCUUACCAAGGCAACGAUGCGUAGCCGACCUGAGAGGGUGAUCGGCCACACUGGAACUGAGACACGGUCCAGACUCCUACGGGGGGCAGCAGUAGUGAAUCUUCCGCAAUGGGCGAAAGCCUGACGGAGCAACGCCGCGUGAGUGAUGAAGGUCUUCGGAUCGUAAAACUCUGUUAUUAGGGAAGAACAAAUGUGUAAGUAACUAUGCACGUCUUGACGGUACCUAAUCAGAAAGCCACGGCUAACUACG
Molecule: ribosomal RNA, 494 nt
Filed under: uncultured bacterium
Lineage: Bacteria
Description: partial 16S ribosomal RNA
Rfam family: Bacterial small subunit ribosomal RNA
Source: RNAcentral